GUGCUCGCUUUGGCAGCACAUAUACUAAAAUUGGAACAAUACAGAGAUUAGCAUGGCCCCUGCAAAAGGAUGACAUGCAAAUUUGUAUUUAAAAAAAGAAUUAAU
Small nuclear RNA from Suncus etruscus (white-toothed pygmy shrew), 105 nucleotides. The record is from RefSeq and is a predicted model, not a curated record. NCBI's taxonomy places the organism in Eukaryota, Metazoa, Chordata, Mammalia, Eulipotyphla, Soricidae.